Non-coding RNA from Parachaetomium inaequale, 116 nucleotides. The record is from the annotation of a GenBank genome assembly. Lineage: Eukaryota; Fungi; Ascomycota; Sordariomycetes; Sordariales; Chaetomiaceae.
AGUUACGUAGCAUAGUAGUUAGCGUAUAUACCUGUCGUUCUACUUCACCUUAGGAUAGAAUCCUAGGGUAGAGUAAGGCUUGUACGAGGUCGUGGGUUCGAAUCCUAUUGCGACCU